Molecule: long non-coding RNA, 914 nt
Organism: Gasterosteus aculeatus aculeatus (three-spined stickleback)
Lineage: Eukaryota; Metazoa; Chordata; Actinopteri; Perciformes; Gasterosteidae
Source: Ensembl
UAUUACUACAAACAAUUUUAAACAAAUUUAAGCUCCUGCAACUUCUGUUUUUAGAAAAUCUAUUGAAAUUCAGCUUCCCCACUUCCUGUAUUUUCAGCAGUUCUUUAAAAUAAUUUCAGCUAUUCUUAUGCCUCUAUCAACAGCAAUUUUUCAAUAUUCAUUUCUGUAUUUUUUUGCAAUAUUUCAAAUUUAUUUCAGCUGUUUUCAUUUCUGCUUUUUCAGCAAAUCUAUUGAAAUUCCUUUCAGCUUCUCCCAUUUCUGUAUUUUCAGCAAUUUCAAAUUCAUUUCAGCUUUUCAGCAAAUGUAUUCAAAUUCCCUUCAACUUUCUGUAUUUUCAGCUAUUUUUAAAUAUUCAGUGCAGCUUUCAGCUUUUUGCAUUCCAACGCAUUUUCAGCAGGAAAUGCCUUUUCUAGUUAUUAUUUAUUAUGUUUCUUCUAUUUCUUCCGCGGCACCUUUCAACUCCUUCACACUUUCAGCUAUUAAAAUCCUUCAAAUAUUAAAAUGUUCAGCUCCUUUCUGGCUUGAGGGCUAUGACUUUUCAGCUUUCUACAUCUUAUGCUUGAAUUUAUAUAAAUCAAUAAUCAUUAAUAUUUUAACAUGGUUUUCAAAUGGAGUUUUCUUUCAAAUCCUCCUAAACUUCUUCAACUUUCAGAUUUUUCAGCUUCGCAAAUCUUUCAGCUACAGACACCAUUUCAACUUUCAAAUGUUGACACAAGUCUUAACUAUUUUAUGAAAAAAACUGCUUCUUGAUAUCUAUUGUACUUUUUUCAUAAUCACUGAUUAUGUUUCACUAGUUCUUCGCUCCGUUUCUGACUUUUACAUGAGUGUGUAUUGCGUCUGCUAGAGGGGGACAUCGACGGCUAGAGUGUGGGGCAUCGCAGGAAUCUGGUAAAAAAAAUAUGGAACUUCUGUCC